UACGUAGGGUGCGAGCGUUAAUCGGAAUUACUGGGCGUAAAGUGUGCGCAGGCGGCUUCGCAAGUCGAGUGUGAAAUCCCCGAGCCUAACUUGGGAAUUGCGCUCGAAACUACGGAGCUGGAGUGUGGCAGAGGAAGGUGGAAUUCCACGUGUAGCGGUGAAAUGCGUAGAGAUGUGGAGGAACACCGAUGGCGAAGGCAGCCUUCUGGGCCAACACUGACGCUCAUGCACGAAAGCGUGGGGAGCAAACAGG
RNAcentral lists this ribosomal RNA (253 nucleotides) under uncultured bacterium. RNAcentral describes it as "partial 16S ribosomal RNA". It matches the Rfam family "Bacterial small subunit ribosomal RNA", at positions 524 to 776 of the family's 1533-position model. The record is from RNAcentral.